AAUGUUGUUAAAUGAAAAGCAAACAGUAAUUACAUAGGCUGGAGCCCCCUGGACUGCGCCAGCGAGGGGAGCGUGAUGUUGCAAAACUUAGCCAGAAGGGAAAGGCAGAGAGGAAUGGAGGGGAGGGGUGGAGGAAGAGGAGAAGUGGUGUGGAGAACAGCAGGAGAAUGGAGAAAUCGAGCCGAAGAGGUAGUGAUGGAGAGAGUCUCUGCAUUUCAAGUGCUUAACAGUGACCUUAGAAUGUCCCUCUACGUGUUUCACUCUCAGGCUCUCUUUCUCUCUCUCACUCACUCUGCAUUACAACGCUGCAGUUCUUCAGACCUUUAUCGUCCCGGGAACAACUACAAGACUGUCUGCAGGAGGAUGCAGCCCUUCCUACCUUUGUUUCUCUUGUCGUCCCUCAUUUUCUACAACUUUAUGAUGUGUGGACAGUGAACAGUGAUGCUGAGGCCUGAGAGCAGAGGAGAAUUUGUCUGAAUUUAAGAGUUAAGAUUUUUCUUUCGUACCUGGGUCCAGUUCAUGGCAAAUUUGCUGGGGUCCAGCUUGUAGCAUGAGGUGAAUGCACAGGGGAUUCUGACAUCAGUCCCAUUGAGUGCGUAGAUCUGUGGUGGCACCAGCACAUCCAUGGAGUUCACUGGACAGGCUACAAGAGAGCUAAAUUAGGACAUUUCCAUCAGGAAACACCACUUUAAUGAAGGGGUGUAAAUUGGGUACCACAACAGUCUACAGGUAGGUGAUAA
Molecule: long non-coding RNA, 740 nt
Organism: Carassius gibelio (silver crucian carp)
Lineage: Eukaryota; Metazoa; Chordata; Actinopteri; Cypriniformes; Cyprinidae
Exons: 3
Source: RefSeq, a predicted model, not a curated record